GAAGAAGGCCAGGAGAGCGGAACAUGAAGAAUUUACCAAGGCAAACUUGGAGGCUAUGAAAGAAUUGAAGAAAAUGAUGGGUGACCGGUUGAAUGACGUGGAGAAAUAUGGUUAAAUGAUUGCUGGAAUGUUGUGUUGAAAAACUAAGUUAGUAUAUGAAUGUUCUGAUGGCUCGGCCAAUGUUCUGAUGUCUAUGCAGUAUUAUGUAUGUUAGCCUGUUCUUAGUAGUAUGUUUCUUCUUUUCAUUUGUAUGUUUGCACUUCUGUAAUUUUUUAUGCUUUUGAGUAUAUCUACAGGGGUGUUCAGCUACAAAGUUGGGGUGUAAUUUUUAUAGGGGUG
This 339-nucleotide long non-coding RNA is filed under the name Daucus carota (carrot). RNAcentral describes it as "long non-coding RNA (DCAR_LNC002269)". Lineage: Eukaryota; Viridiplantae; Streptophyta; Magnoliopsida; Apiales; Apiaceae. The record is from RNAcentral.